AGAGUUUGAUCCUGGCUCAGGAUGAACGCUAGCGGCAGGCUUAAUACAUGCAAGUCGUGGGGCAGCGCAGUGUAGCAAUACAUGGGCGGCGACCGGCAAACGGGUGCGGAACACGUACACAACCUUCCUUUUAGUGGAGAAUAGCCCGGGGAAACCCGGAUUAAUACUCCGUAACAUUUCGGUGUGGCAUCACACUGAAA
Molecule: ribosomal RNA, 200 nt
Filed under: uncultured bacterium
Lineage: Bacteria
Description: partial 16S ribosomal RNA
Rfam family: Bacterial small subunit ribosomal RNA
Source: RNAcentral